GGGGUUGUAGCUCAGUGGUGGAGCACCUGCCUCACACGUGGGAGGCACUGGGUUCAAUCCUCAGCACCACA
This 71-nucleotide transfer RNA is filed under the name Marmota monax (woodchuck). RNAcentral describes it as "tRNA.Val". It matches the Rfam family "tRNA". Rfam says of the family: Transfer RNA (tRNA) molecules are approximately 80 nucleotides in length. Their secondary structure includes four short double-helical elements and three loops (D, anti-codon, and T loops). Lineage: Eukaryota; Metazoa; Chordata; Mammalia; Rodentia; Sciuridae. The record is from RNAcentral.